Molecule: small nuclear RNA, 106 nt
Organism: Jaculus jaculus (lesser Egyptian jerboa)
Lineage: Eukaryota; Metazoa; Chordata; Mammalia; Rodentia; Dipodidae
Source: Ensembl
GUACACAGGUUAGCAGCACAUAUACUACAAUUAGAACAAUACAGAGAAAUUAGUAUUGCUACUCUACAAUGAUGGCAUGAAAACUCAUAAAGAUUUCCAUACUUUU